Molecule: long non-coding RNA, 375 nt
Filed under: Sorghum bicolor (sorghum)
Lineage: Eukaryota; Viridiplantae; Streptophyta; Magnoliopsida; Poales; Poaceae
Description: long non-coding RNA (SBIC_LNC008960)
Source: RNAcentral
UCCUAUUUACACCUAUCUAUCUAUCUUGGUUAAGUUAGAGCGUAGUUGGUUCUCCCGUUUCCCUGUGGAUAUGAUAAAACCUUUAACCGGGUAAAAGCUAUAAUAGUAUCCGUGCGCUUGCGGAUUUAUUUGUGUGCGUAUAAAUACCAUAGUACACUCUAGUGCCAUGCUGGGGAUGACAACCUAGUAUUCAAGUGGUGUUAGCAAGUGUCAACAAGCUUUUUGGCGCCGUUGCUGGGGAGACGGUUGCUGAGUUGAGUACGAACUAGCUUAAUCAUUUUUCCAAAAAUAAAAAAAAGAAAAUAUAAUAUAUUUUUCCUUCUAUCCUUUGCCUCAUCUCUACUAUUCUUUCUUCUUAUCUAAUCCUUGAUCUCU